UGUUGGACUCCAGCAAGUUGCCUCAAAAGUUU
RNAcentral lists this non-coding RNA (32 nucleotides) under Mus musculus (house mouse). Lineage: Eukaryota; Metazoa; Chordata; Mammalia; Rodentia; Muridae. The record is from RNAcentral.